This 256-nucleotide ribosomal RNA is filed under the name uncultured bacterium. Its description in RNAcentral is "partial 16S ribosomal RNA". It matches the Rfam family "Bacterial small subunit ribosomal RNA", at positions 335 to 607 of the family's 1533-position model. The record is from RNAcentral.
ACUCCUACGGGAGGCAGCAGUGGGGAAUAUUGCACAAUGGGCGCAAGCCUGAUCCAGCCAUGCCGCGUGAGUGAUGAAGGCUCUAGGGUUGUAAAGCUCUUUCACCGGUGAAGAUAAUGACGGUAACCGGAGAAGAAGCCCCGGCUGAACUCAGUGCCAGCAGCCGCGGUAAUACGGAGGGUGCGAGCGUUAAUCGGAAUUACUGGGCGUAAAGCGCGUGUAGGUGGCUUGUUAAGCCAGAUGUGAAAGCCCCGGC